GUCUUCCACUUAUAGGUGCUUUAAAUGCAGAGGAGUUGCUUUGGUUUUAAACAGUUCUGGCUUUUAAGUUGCAUCUCAUCAGUUUUAAUCAUAGUAAUGACUCAAAAAACCUCAGUAGGUGUCUAGAACUGUGGCGGACCCUGGAGAUCCAAAGAUGAACACAAGAUUCCCCCUCCCCAAGUCUUCUUAACUGGGGGUGUGCACUUGAAGCACCGUAGCGCUGAGCAUUGAGCCCCCGGAGGUGCUGCCCCUGUGUGCUUUGAGAAUCACCUACAAGGGCCGCUCUGCCCCAGUACACUCAGCCUCAGGAGCAGAGUCCAUCGCCCUGGCGCAAGUCAUCCAUUGAUGUUAAAGCUGUCACUGCCAACUAGUGAGCCAGGCAUUAGCUAUGGACAGUGUGGGACCAGAAUGUUAUUCACUAGCUAAGACUUUCAGAAUUUUUGUCAUUUGAGGGACCGAUUCACAUCUGGAGACCAUGCUCCUUUGAGAAUAUUGAGGAACAUUGUUCUAAGAUGGUAAAUUUGAGUACUCACUGUAUGCAAGCCACUGGGCUCAUAGGACAGGGCACCCCACAGAGUCAUCUUUUCCCAUCUUCUAGAUGGGAAAAAAUACACAGGACUUCCGCCAAGAUGGAGGCAUGGGUAGAUGUGCCGUGCCUUCUCACACAACCAAGUUUGGAGACAAUUAAAUAUUAGCAACAGAAAACACAGCCAGAACACAGAAAAUUGAACUUUUUGGAAGUCCGUUAACAACGAAUUCUUCAGCCUGACCAGUAAGGGGCGAAACCAGCGGCUGGUGAAGCGGGGUUGCACAGGAGGACUCGGUCAGAUGGACUCAGGCAUGCAGAAUCCAGGUGCAGGGUUGGACCUAGUGAGCGACCGAGCGAGCGACCAGGCGAGCGACCGCGGGGGAGACAGCGGAGGAGCGGUGCUGCGUGUUGACUGUGGUAGUGCAUUUGUGCGCAGGUGGACUGGGCCCAGCGGGUCCCGUGGAAAGCGGCAGUGGAGGGCACCGCCAUUUCCCUGCUCUGACCCCACCUCCACAUACAGCGUCUACACCCAGCGACUCUGAGUGGCCCGGCCCAGGGGAACCACCUAAGGCGCUACUCCUCACCCAGCUGUGAGAAACAGCAGAGGGGGUCGCCAUUUCCCCCGCUCUGACCACGCCCCCACAUACAGCGUCACAACCCAGAGACCUGGGAGUCCAAGGCACCGCUUCUCACACUUAAAGGGCACGAACAGACCAAAAAUGGUGCAAGAAGAUCUCAAAGCCCCACAGCCUAUAGAUCUAAGCAAUGAAGAAAUAGCAAAACUCUCAGACGCACAGUUUAAAACACUGGUGAUCAGGAUCCUCACAGAACUGGUUGAUUAUAGCC
Molecule: long non-coding RNA, 1375 nt
Organism: Artibeus jamaicensis (Jamaican fruit-eating bat)
Lineage: Eukaryota; Metazoa; Chordata; Mammalia; Chiroptera; Phyllostomidae
Exons: 5
Source: RefSeq, a predicted model, not a curated record